Small nuclear RNA from Sorex araneus (European shrew), 163 nucleotides. Its record names the gene U1. It matches the Rfam family "U1 spliceosomal RNA". From Rfam's summary of the family: U1 is a small nuclear RNA (snRNA) component of the spliceosome (involved in pre-mRNA splicing). Its 5' end forms complementary base pairs with the 5' splice junction, thus defining the 5' donor site of an intron. Lineage: Eukaryota; Metazoa; Chordata; Mammalia; Eulipotyphla; Soricidae. The record is from Ensembl.
AUACUUAACUGGCAGGGAGAUAUCAUGAUCAUGAAGGUGGUUUUCUCAGGGCAAGGCUUGUCCAUUACACUCCAGAUAUGCUGAGUCCUGUGAUUUCCCCAAAUGUGGGAAAUUCAAUUGCGUAAUUUGUGGUAGCCGGGGACUGGGUUAGCACUNNNNNNNN